GCCUGGGUGGCACAGCGGUUGAGCGUCUGCCUUCAGCUCAGGGCGUGAUCCCGGUGUUGUGGGAUCGAGCCCCACAUCAGGCU
Molecule: non-coding RNA, 83 nt
Organism: Ailuropoda melanoleuca (giant panda)
Lineage: Eukaryota; Metazoa; Chordata; Mammalia; Carnivora; Ursidae
Source: Rfam